AUGUCAAGCCUCCGCGUCCUCCGCCGCAGCUCCACCUCCACCUCCACCUCCACCUCGCCGCCCUCGCGCUCCUGGUCUCCCACCGCAGCCUUUGCCGCGGCCACAGAGCGUGUCCGCGCCGGGACGCUCAGCCAAGAUGAUGCACACCACCUGUUCGACGAAUUGCUGCGGCAGGUCACCCCGGUCCCCGAGCGCCCCCUCAACGGCUUCCUCGCCGCCCUCGCACGUGCUACGUCCUCUGCCGCCUGCAUCAGAGAUGGUCCCGCCCUCGACGUCGCCCUCUUCAACCGCGUGUGCCGAGAACAAGCCGGCCCGCGGGUGGCGCCUCUCACAGUCCACACGUACAACAUCCUCAUGGACUGCUGCUGCCGCGCGUCUCGCCCGGACCUAGGUCUUGCCUUCUUCGCUCGCCUCCUCAGGACAGGCCUGAAGACAGAUGAGAUCACCGCCAACACCUUCCUCAAGUGCCUCUGCUACGCAAAACGGACGGAUGAGGCUGUGAACGUGCUGCUUCAUAGGAUGUCCGAGCUUGGCUGUGUGCCUAAUGCCUUCUCAUACUCCAUUGUUCUGAAGAGCUUAUGCGACAAUAGCAUGAGUCAGCGGGCGCUCGACCUGCUCCAGAUGAUGGCGAAAGAAGGAGGUGCCUGCUCCCCCAACGUGGUGGCAUAUAGCACGGUCAUCCAUGGCUUCUUAGGAAGGCGAAACAGGCAAGGCAUGCAAUCUGUUCCAUGA
This 732-nucleotide ribosomal RNA is filed under the name Triticum aestivum (bread wheat). Its description in RNAcentral is "partial small subunit ribosomal RNA". Lineage: Eukaryota; Viridiplantae; Streptophyta; Magnoliopsida; Poales; Poaceae. The record is from RNAcentral.